This 1064-nucleotide ribosomal RNA is filed under the name Keissleriella cladophila. RNAcentral describes it as "SSU rRNA". It matches the Rfam family "Eukaryotic small subunit ribosomal RNA", at positions 50 to 1123 of the family's 1831-position model. The record is from RNAcentral. Lineage: Eukaryota; Fungi; Ascomycota; Dothideomycetes; Pleosporales; Lentitheciaceae.
CAUGCAUGUCUAAGUAUAAGCAAUCUAUACUGUGAAACUGCGAAUGGCUCAUUAAAUCAGUUAUCGUUUAUUUGAUAGUACCUUACUACUUGGAUAACCGUGGUAAUUCUAGAGCUAAUACAUGCUGAAAACCCCGACUCGGAAGGGGUGUAUUUAUUAGAUAAAAAACCAAUUGCCUUCGGGGCUCCUUGGUGAUUCAUAAUAACUUCUCAGAUCGCAUGGCCUUGCGCCGGCGACGGUUCAUUCAAAUUUCUGCCCUAUCAACUUUCGAUGGUAAGGUAUUGGCUUACCAUGGUUUCAACGGGUAACGGGGAAUUAGGGUUCGAUUCCGGAGAGGGAGCCUGAGAAACGGCUACCACAUCCAAGGAAGGCAGCAGGCGCGCAAAUUACCCAAUCCCGACACGGGGAGGUAGUGACAAUAAAUACUGAUACAGGGCUCUUUUGGGUCUUGUAAUUGGAAUGAGUACAAUUUAAACCUCUUAACGAGGAACAAUUGGAGGGCAAGUCUGGUGCCAGCAGCCGCGGUAAUUCCAGCUCCAAUAGCGUAUAUUAAAGUUGUUGCAGUUAAAAAGCUCGUAGUUGAACCUUUGGCCUGGCUGGCAGGUCCGCCUCACCGCGUGCACUUGUCCGGCCGGGCCUUUUCUUCUGGAGAACCGCAUGCCCUUCACUGGGUGUGUUGGGGAACCAGGACUUUUACUUUGAAAAAAUUAGAGUGUUCAAAGCAGGCCUUUGCUCGAAUACGUUAGCAUGGAAUAAUAGAAUAGGACGUGCGGUCCUAUUUUGUUGGUUUCUAGGACCGCCGUAAUGAUUAAUAGGGACAGUCGGGGGCAUCAGUAUUCAAUUGUCAGAGGUGAAAUUCUUGGAUUUAUUGAAGACUAACUACUGCGAAAGCAUUUGCCAAGGAUGUUUUCAUUAAUCAGUGAACGAAAGUUAGGGGAUCGAAGACGAUCAGAUACCGUCGUAGUCUUAACCAUAAACUAUGCCGACUAGGGAUCGGGCGGUGUUAUUAUUUUGACUCGCUCGGCACCUUACGAGAAAUCAAAGUGUUUGGGUUCUGGGGGGAG